AGAGUUUGAUCCUGGCUCAGGAUGAACGCUGGCGGCGUGCCUAAUACAUGCAAGUCGAACGAAGAUCCAGCUUGCUGGAUCUUAGUGGCGAACGGGUGAGUAAUACAUAAAUAAUCUGCCCAUUGGACUGGGAUAACUGUUGGAAACGAUAGCUAAUACCGGAUAGGUGAUUUGAAGGCAUCUUCGAAUCAUUAAAGUAGGGUCACUACACCAAUGGAUGAGUUUAUGGCGCAUUAGUUAGUUGGCGGGGUAACGGCCCACCAAGACGAUGAUGCGUAGCCGACCUGAGAGGGUGACCGGCCACACUGGAACUGAGACACGGUCCAGACUCCUACGGGAGGCAGCAGUGAGGAAUUUUCUGCAAUGGGCGAAAGCCUGACAGAGCAAUACCGCGUGAGGGAUGAAGACUUACUGAGUUGUAAACCUCGGUACCUUAAGGAAGAAGAUAUGACGGUACUUAAGGUGGAAAGCAUCGGCUAACUCCGUGCCAGCAGCCGCGGUAAGACGGGGGAUGCAAGUGUUAUCCGGAAUUACUGGGCGUAAAGCGUCUGCAGGUGGUUUCUUAAGUCUACUGUUAAAUCUUGAGGCUCAACCUCAAAUCUGCAGUAGGAACUAGGAGACUUGAGUAUAGUAGGGGUAGAGGGAAUUUCCAGUGGAGCGGUGAAAUGCGUAGAUAUUGGAAAGAACACCGAUGGCGAAGGCACUCUACUGGGCUAUUACUGACACUCAGAGACGAAAGCUAGGGGAGCAAAUGGGAUUAGAUACCCCAGUAGUCCUAGCCGUAAACGAUGGAUACUCGAUGUUGGACGUAUCGACCCGUUCAGUAUCUUAGCUAACGCGUUAAGUAUCCCGCCUGGGGAGUACGCUCGCAAGAGUGAAACUCAAAAGAAUUGACGGGGGCCCGCCCGAGCGGUGGAGGAUGUGGUUUAAUUCGAUGCAACGCGAAGAACCUUACCAGGGUUUGCUAGAAGUGUUGGUUUCCUGAAAAGGAUUCCUUAUUCCGCUUCUACAGGUGGUGCAUGGCUGUCGUCAGCUCGUGUCGUGAGAUGUUGGGUUAAGCCCCGCAACGAGCGCAACCCCUAUUUUUAGUUCUAUUGUCUAAAAAGACUGCCGGUGAUAAACCGGAGGAAGGUGAGGACGACGUCAAGUCAUCAUGCCCCCUACACCCUGGGCUACACACGUCCUACAAUGGGUAAGACAAUAAGUUGCAAAUCCGCGAGGACAAGCUAAUCUUUCAAACUUACUCCAAGUACAGAUUGCAGGCUGCAACUCGCCUGCAUGAAGGUGGAAUCGCUAGUAAUCGCUGGUCAGCUACACAGCGGCGAAAAAGUUCCCGGGC
RNAcentral lists this ribosomal RNA (1339 nucleotides) under uncultured bacterium. RNAcentral's name for it is "partial 16S ribosomal RNA". It matches the Rfam family "Bacterial small subunit ribosomal RNA", at positions 8 to 1379 of the family's 1533-position model. The record is from RNAcentral.